AGACAGGCAAGAGCGACACACACACUGAAAGAGGGGACAAAGCCCGCCUUCCAUGUAAGUGCUUCCAAAUUACAAGGACAUUAUCUGUUUAAAAUAUAGGAAAGGCUUAGCACAUGUCUGCUGUAAAAUACAAACAAAUUGACCCUUUGCCUCUGACAGAACUGGCCCCCUAUCAAAAGUACUUAAACCUGUAAUUCUGUAAGGAGCUGCUUUGAGGGGGGAGGAAGGGGGAAGAAGUCUACGGAAAGAAAAAUCACAGCAUUCCAGAAAAAUGAAACAAAAGAGCAUUCUUGUAUGUGUGCGUGCAUGCGUGUGUUGGGGAGGGGGUGUGUUUUAUUUUGUUUGGCAUUUAUAUUCCAAACAGCUUUAAGAAACAGUGUUUUGGAAAUGAAUGCACGACGUUUGAGCUCAAACUUCAUUUUUGGACAUAAUUACUUUGCUUCUUUUUCCCUCUCCCUUGGCUGUUUGGUAUAUAUUGAUUUAAUUACUCACCUUCCCAUCUGUUUCCUUUCUGCUUUGCACCUCCACCCUGGGACCCUUUCACUGCGCCUGUCUGGAGGAGGGAUGCUAAGAAAGAGGGAUUCUUUAGGGUCACAAACAGUGAAGAAAAAGUGGAGGAAAUACCACGUGGGAGGUUGCUGGGUUGAUUUACCCCUGUCUUCAGCUGUGUGACCUCAGGAAUAAGCAGCUGACAAGUUGGAAGCAACGAUGGGGGUGGGCCUGGCGACACAGCUGCGGAGUCCCUUCCUCCCCCUGGAAGCACCUUCAGCUGCUGCAGAUCUCUUUCCAGGACGGCUGCUUUUCCUUUCCCUCUAGCCUAGAUCUGAAACUCAGUGAUGAAUUUCUGCUGCUUUCAGAAACAGUUCAAGUUUCCCUUGUGUAUUUCGCGGCAAGAAAAGAAACUCAUUCAGAUCACCUGCUCUGUUCUCCUCCUUGUAAAUGACAAUUCAAAUGCAAAAUCCCAUUUUUCUCUAAGGUCCAGAAUAGGGUAGAGAAGAUACUUUUUCUGUCCCUGCAUACAUUUCAACACCCCCCCCUUUAUUUUCUCUAAAAUAACACUUGGGAAGUUCUUUGUGCCUGUUCUCGUAGCUGAGAAUGGUGACUUGAAGAAUAAAGAUUC
This 1120-nucleotide long non-coding RNA is filed under the name Capra hircus (goat). Its description in RNAcentral is "lncRNA (ENSCHIG00000007064.1)". The record is from RNAcentral. Lineage: Eukaryota; Metazoa; Chordata; Mammalia; Artiodactyla; Bovidae.